This 813-nucleotide ribosomal RNA is filed under the name marine metagenome. RNAcentral's name for it is "bacterial SSU rRNA". It matches the Rfam family "Bacterial small subunit ribosomal RNA", at positions 688 to 1520 of the family's 1533-position model. The record is from RNAcentral.
CCGUUAAUAUCAGCAGGAACACCAAAUGCGAAAGCAGCUUGCUAGUACGUGCCUGACGCUCAGGGACGAAAGCGUGGGUAGCGAAUGGGAUUAGAUACCCCAGUAGUCCACGCCGUAAACGAUGGAUGCUAAGCAUUGGCAGUAUCGACCCUGUCAGUGUUGUUCACCUAAGCUAACGCCUUAAGCAUCCCGCCUGGGGAGUACGAGCGCAAGCUUAAAACUCAAAGGAAUAGACGGGGACCCGCACAAGCGGUGGAGCAUGUGGUUUAAUUCGACGAUAAGCGAGGAACCUCACCUAGGCUUGACAUCUGGCUGCAGACCCCGGGAAACCGGGGAGCCUUCGAGGGUGCCAGACAGGUGCUGCAUGGUUGUCGUCAGCUCGUGCCGUGAGGUGUACCGUUAAGUCGGGAAACGAGCGCAACCCCUACCCUAUGUUUCAUGUGUCAUAGGGAACUGCCCGCUUUAAGUGGGAGGAAGGUGGGGACGACGUCAAAUCAGCAUGGUCCUUACGCCUAGGGCGACACACGUGCUACAAUGGGGAGCACAAAGGGACGCCAAACCGCGAGGUGGAGCAAAUCCCACAAAACUCCUCUCAGUUCGGAUUGGAGUCUGCAACUCGACUCCAUGAAGCCGGAAUCGCUAGUAAACGCGCAUCAGCCAUGACGCGUUGAAUACGUUCUCGGGUCUUGUACUCACCGCCCGUCACGUCAAGAGAGCCGGCAAUACCCGAAGGCCGCGUCUGACACGGACGAAGGUAGGGCUGGUGAUAGGGACGAAGUCGUAACAAGGCAUCCGUAGCGGAAGCUGUGGAUG